Molecule: ribosomal RNA, 484 nt
Filed under: uncultured bacterium
Lineage: Bacteria
Description: partial 16S ribosomal RNA
Rfam family: Bacterial small subunit ribosomal RNA
Source: RNAcentral
AUUGAACGCUGGCGGCAGGCCUAACACAUGCAAGUCGAGCGGAUGAAGGGAGCUUGCUCCUGGAUUCAGCGGCGGACGGGUGAGUAAUGCCUAGGAAUCUGCCUGGUAGUGGGGGAUAACGUCCGGAAACGGGCGCUAAUACCGCAUACGUCCUGAGGGAGAAAGUGGGGGAUCUUCGGACCUCACGCUAUCAGAUGAGCCUAGGUCGGAUUAGCUAGUUGGUGGGGUAAAGGCCUACCAAGGCGACGAUCCGUAACUGGUCUGAGAGGAUGAUCAGUCACACUGGAACUGAGACACGGUCCAGACUCCUACGGGAGGCAGCAGUGGGGAAUAUUGGACACUGGGCGCAAGCCUGAUCCAGCCAUGCCGCGUGUGUGAAGACGGUCUUCGGAUUGUAAAGCACUUUAAGUUGGGAGGAAGGGCAGUAAGUUAAUACCUUGCUGUUUUGACGUUACCAACAGAAUAAGCACCGGCUAACUUCGUG